Molecule: non-coding RNA, 908 nt
Organism: Microcebus murinus (gray mouse lemur)
Lineage: Eukaryota; Metazoa; Chordata; Mammalia; Primates; Cheirogaleidae
Source: RefSeq, a predicted model, not a curated record
GCCGCCUGGGCCGGGUGCCGCGAGGACAGCGUGCGGCUCCUCCCCGCCCGCCCUGCCCCCUUGUUUGGGACACUAGGGCAAGGAAGGCUUUGUCUCACGUUCACCGCGGGUGCCCGUCCUUCCCGGCCGUGACCCUCUUUCCCUUCACCCUCUGUCUGGAACCCCAGAACCACACCCGCCCGUGACCACCUUGUCACCGGCUCAAGGAGGCUCCAGCCCGCCACGACAGUGCCCCACGGAGCUGCGCAAAGCCCUCGGACCCCACACAGGGGUGGAUAAUUAGGGCGCAUGGGUCUCUGGUGGGCAGGAAUUUAAACUGAUAUGCUAAGUGUGACCGUCCCUAUAGUCCAACAGAAAACACACACACAUGCACUCGCACUCCUCACUGGGGACCCAUACAGGCACACUCCAGGUCCUCAUCUUCCUUGUCAGCUGGUACCCCCUCUUCUGAAAGAUUCUCUCCCCUUAGUUUCCGCAGUUGGAAGGAAAGACACCCUUUAUCCACAAAAACUGGUUUGGUUCUGGGAUCUGCUCCCCGCCCCUCCACCCAACUCUUCCAGGAGAUAAAUUGAGGUCGUGUGUGUGAAGUGCUUUCCUCUGGUUCCUUGACCAUGCCGGAGCCUUCGUACCGACUGUUCCUUCUGCCUGAAUUGCUCUUCCCAGGAUGUGUGCGUGGCUGUCCCCUUGCUUCGUUCAGGUGUCUGCUCGAAUGUCAUCUCUCAGAGAAAGCAAGACCCAAGAGAAGGCAAACAUUGUCUGACUUCUUCACUGUGAUGGGGAAAAAAAGCCCCAUAAAUAUUUAUUGGAUGAAUAUGUAGAAUGAAUGAGUUCUAUGGGGACUUCCCAGCAGGUCACUCUGGGCCGAGACGUUGUUCAAGGGGCAACUAUUAAAUCAAACACACACACAC